RNAcentral lists this long non-coding RNA (233 nucleotides) under Mytilus galloprovincialis (Mediterranean mussel). The record is from RNAcentral. Lineage: Eukaryota; Metazoa; Mollusca; Bivalvia; Mytilida; Mytilidae.
AGAUUAUCUAACUAUAUGUUCCUAUUGUAAUUUUAAAGGCUCUUCAAAAUGUUCGUAAAAAUAAAAAUAAAUAAUUAUUAUUUCUUGAAGACGAUCAGAUGAUGAAUUUUCGGUUUUAAUAUAUAUUAAGUACGACAAUGUAAAAUAGUGCAAGGGGAUUUUGAGCCAUCUCACUGAUCAGUGUAGGCUACACAGUACCCCCAAAUGAACAGUAUAAAACUAUCCAGCAAGAG